Molecule: transfer RNA, 69 nt
Filed under: Ovis aries (sheep)
Lineage: Eukaryota; Metazoa; Chordata; Mammalia; Artiodactyla; Bovidae
Also listed under: 1 other name
Rfam family: tRNA
About the family: Transfer RNA (tRNA) molecules are approximately 80 nucleotides in length. Their secondary structure includes four short double-helical elements and three loops (D, anti-codon, and T loops).
Source: Rfam by way of RNAcentral
CCUGGUGGCUCAGACGGUAAAGCAUCUGCCUGCAAUGCAGGAGACCCAGGUUCAAUUCCUGGGUCAGGA